UGGAUCCAGACUUUGAUCAUGGCUCAGGAUGAACGCUAGCUACAGGCUUAACACAUGCAAGUCGAGGGGAAACGACAUCGGAAGCUUGCUUCCGAUGGGCGUCGACCGGCGCACGGGUGAGUAACGCGUAUCCAACCUGCCCACCACUUGGGAAUAACCUUGCGAAAGUAAGACUAAUGCCCAAUGAUAUUGAGUGCAGACAUCUAAUCUCAAUUAAAGAUUUAUCGGUGAUGGAUGGGGAUGCGUCUGAUUAGCUUGUUGGCGGGGUAACGGCCCACCAAGGCGACGAUCAGUAGGGGUUCUGAGAGGAAGGUCCCCCACAUUGGAACUGAGACACGGUCCAAACUCCUACGGGAGGCAGCAGUGAGGAAUAUUGGUCAAUGGACGAGAGUCUGAACCAGCCAAGUAGCGUGCAGGAUGACGGCCCUAUGGGUUGUAAACUGCUUUUAUAAGGGAAUAAAGUGAGUCUCGUGAGACUUUUUGCAUGUACCUUAUGAAUAAGGACCGGCUAAUUCCGUGCCAGCAGCCGCGGUAAUACGGAAGGUCCGGGCGUUAUCCGGAUUUAUUGGGUUUAAAGGGAGCGUAGGCCGGAGAUUAAGCGUGUUGUGAAAUGUAGACGCUCAACGUCUGCACUGCAGCGCGAACUGGUUUCCUUGAGUACGCACAA
This 667-nucleotide ribosomal RNA is filed under the name uncultured Bacteroidota bacterium. Its description in RNAcentral is "bacterial SSU rRNA". It matches the Rfam family "Bacterial small subunit ribosomal RNA", at positions 1 to 655 of the family's 1533-position model. Lineage: Bacteria; Pseudomonadati; Bacteroidota. The record is from RNAcentral.